GGGGAAUAUUGCACAAUGGGGGAAACCCUGAUGCAGCCAUGCCGCGUGUGUGAAGAAGGCCUUCGGGUUGUAAAGCUCUUUCGGACGGACAGAAAUCGCCGCCUCUAACAUAGGCGGUGGAUGACGGUACCGUCAGAAGAAGCACCGGCUAACUACGUGCCAGCAGCCGCGGUAAUACGUAGGGUGCGAGCGUUAAUCGGAAUUACUGGGCGUAAAGCGUGCGCAGGCGGUUUGGUAAGACAGGUGUGAAAUCCCCGGGCUUAACCUGGGAACUGCGCUUGUGACUGCCAGGCUAGAGUACGGCAGAGGGGGGUGGAAUUCCACGUGUAGCAGUGAAAUGCGUAGAGAUGCGGAGGGACACCGAUGGCGAAGGCAGCCCCCUGAGCCUGUACUGACGCUCAUGCACGAAAGCGUGGGGAGCAAACA
RNAcentral lists this ribosomal RNA (426 nucleotides) under uncultured beta proteobacterium. RNAcentral's name for it is "bacterial SSU rRNA". It matches the Rfam family "Bacterial small subunit ribosomal RNA", at positions 356 to 774 of the family's 1533-position model. The record is from RNAcentral. Lineage: Bacteria; Pseudomonadati; Pseudomonadota; Betaproteobacteria.